AACGCACAUUGCGCCCCUUGGUAUUCCGAGGGGCAUGCCUGUUCGAGCGUCAUUACACCACUCAAGCUAUGCUUGGUAUUGGGUGUCGUCCUUAGUUGGGCGCGCCUUAAAGACCUCGGCGAGGCCUCACCGGCUUUAGGCGUAGUAGAAUUUAUUCGAACGUCUGUCAAAGGAGAGGAACUCUGCCGAUUGAAACCUUUAUUUUUCUAGGUUGACCUCGGAUCAGGUAGGGAUACCCGCUGAACUUAA
Molecule: unclassified non-coding RNA, 249 nt
Filed under: uncultured fungus
Lineage: Eukaryota; Fungi
Description: sequence contains ITS2
Rfam family: 5.8S ribosomal RNA (bases 1-52)
Source: RNAcentral